Molecule: ribosomal RNA, 253 nt
Filed under: uncultured bacterium
Lineage: Bacteria
Description: partial 16S ribosomal RNA
Rfam family: Bacterial small subunit ribosomal RNA
Source: RNAcentral
UACGAAGGGUGCAAGCGUUGUCCGGAAUUAUUGGGCGUAAAGCGCGUGUAGGCGGCUCGGUAAGUCUGCUGUGAAAGUCCAGGGCUCAACCCUGGAACGCCGGUGGAUACUGUCGAGCUCGAGUCCGGAAGAGGCGAGUGGAAUUCCUGGUGUAGCGGUGAAAUGCGCAGAUAUCAGGAGGAACACCAAUGGCGAAGGCAGCUCGCUGGGACGGUACUGACGCUGAGACGCGAAAGCGUGGGGAGCAAACAGG